Molecule: ribosomal RNA, 253 nt
Filed under: uncultured bacterium
Lineage: Bacteria
Description: partial 16S ribosomal RNA
Rfam family: Bacterial small subunit ribosomal RNA
Source: RNAcentral
GACGAACCGUCCUAACGUUAUUCGGAAUUACUGAGCUUAAAGGGUGCGUAGGCGGCGCGGAAAGUUGGGUGUGAAAUUCCUCGGCUUAACCGAGGAACUGCGCCCAAAACUACCGUGCUUGAGGGAGAUAGAGGUGAGCGGAACUUAGGGUGGAGCGGUGAAAUGCGUUGAUAUCCUAAGGAACACCGGUGGCGAAAGCGGCUCACUGGAUCUCUUCUGACGCUGAGGCACGAAAGCUAGGGUAGCAAACGGG